This 484-nucleotide ribosomal RNA is filed under the name uncultured bacterium. RNAcentral describes it as "partial 16S ribosomal RNA". It matches the Rfam family "Bacterial small subunit ribosomal RNA", at positions 30 to 507 of the family's 1533-position model. The record is from RNAcentral.
AUUGAACGCUGGCGGUAGGCCUAACACAUGCAAGUCGAGCGGAUGAAGGGAGCUUGCUCCUGGAUUCAGCGGCGGACGGGUGAGUAAUGCCUAGGAAUCUGCCUGGUAGUGGGGGAUAACGUCCGGAAACGGGCGCUAAUAACGCAUACGUCCUGAGGGAGAAAGUGGGGGAUCUUCGGACCUCACGCUAUCAGAUGAGCCUAGGUCGGAUUAGCUAGUUGGGGGGGUAAAGGCCUACCAAGGCGACGAUCCGUAACUGGUCUGAGAGGAUGAUCAGUCACACUGGAACUGAGACACGGUCCAGACCACUACGGGAGGGAGCAGUGGGGAAUAGUGGACUGAGGGCGGAAGCCUGAUCCAGCCAUGCCGCGUGUGUGAAAAGGGUAUUCGGAUUGUAAAGCACUUUAAGUUGGGAGGAAGGGCAGUAAGUUAAUACCGUGCUGUUUUGAAGGUACCAAAAGAAUAAGCACCGGCUAACUUCGUG